GGAAUGCGUGGGCCUGGUGGCCCGGCCGGUCUUCAAAACCGGUUUGCGGGCGCGGUCGCGUCCGUGGCGGUUCGAUUCCCCCGCAUUCC
Molecule: transfer RNA, 89 nt
Filed under: Rubrobacter radiotolerans
Lineage: Bacteria; Bacillati; Actinomycetota; Rubrobacteria; Rubrobacterales; Rubrobacteraceae
Also listed under: 1 other name
Description: tRNA-Sec
Rfam family: Selenocysteine transfer RNA
Source: RNAcentral